UACGGGGGGGGCAAGCGUUGUUCGGAAUUACUGGGCGUAAAGGGCUCGUAGGCGGCCAACUAAGUCGGAUGUGAAAUCCCCAGGCUUAACCUGGGAACUGCAUCCGAUACUGGAUGGCUUGAAUCCGGGAGAGGGAUGCAGAAUUCCAGGUGUAGCGGUGAAAUGCGUAGAUAUCUGGAGGAAUACCGGUGGCGAAGGCGGCAUCCUGGGCCAACACUGACGCUCAUGCACGAAAGCGUGGGGAGCAAACAGG
This 253-nucleotide ribosomal RNA is filed under the name uncultured bacterium. Its description in RNAcentral is "partial 16S ribosomal RNA". It matches the Rfam family "Bacterial small subunit ribosomal RNA", at positions 524 to 776 of the family's 1533-position model. The record is from RNAcentral.